Molecule: ribosomal RNA, 429 nt
Filed under: Acidobacteriota bacterium
Lineage: Bacteria; Pseudomonadati; Acidobacteriota
Description: Acidobacteria bacterium partial 16S ribosomal RNA
Rfam family: Bacterial small subunit ribosomal RNA
Source: RNAcentral
UGGGGAAUUUUGGACAAUGGGGGAAACCCUGAUCCAGCCAUCCCGCGUGUGCGAUGAAGGCCUUCGGGUUGUAAAGCACUUUUUGCAGGAAAGAAACGUCAUGGGUUAAUACCCCGUGAAACUGACGGUACCUGCAGAAUAAGCACCGGCUAACUACGUGCCAGCAGCCGCGGUAAUACGUAGGGUGCAAGCGUUAAUCGGAAUUACUGGGCGUAAAGCGUGCGCAGGCGGUUCGGAAAGAAAGAUGUGAAAUCCCAGAGCUCAACUUUGGAACUGCAUUUUUAACUGCCGGGCUAGAGUGUGUCAGAGGGAGGUGGAAUUCCGCGUGUAGCAGUGAAAUGCGUAGAUAUGCGGAGGAACACCGAUGGCGAAGGCAGCCUCCUGGGAUAACACUGACGCUGAUGCACGAAAGCGUGGGGAGCAAACAGG